This is a long non-coding RNA of Etheostoma cragini (Arkansas darter), 126 nucleotides long. RefSeq lists it as uncharacterized. The transcript is spliced from 3 exons. The record is from RefSeq and is a predicted model, not a curated record. Lineage: Eukaryota; Metazoa; Chordata; Actinopteri; Perciformes; Percidae.
UUUAAUAUAUGUAUCCAGUCAUCAUCACCAGCCAUGGUUGACUCUCUUCUAACCGGAGACCUUUACACUGUCUGCUAUUUUGGUUUGUAUGGCACUUUUGCGAAGAGUUUCAUCGUUUUUUCAUUU